GCACCAAUACCAGUCACGUGGCGGGGCACGCCUCCUUGCCUUUCCUGCAGGUGUUUUGCUGUGCUGCAAUGCUCCAGAAGGAAGAACAAAACAGCAUCUUCAGAAGAUUCUGGUGUCAUCCCACAGAAGCGCCAAGUUGAUGUAUGUUUGGUGUGAGGAAUUUAGGAAUGGAAGAAAGAGCUGAAAGUUGGGAUUUAAGCAUAGCAGAAGAGGAGGAAGCGCUGCUCCAGAGAUGACUGGACAGAAGGAUGGGAAUCCUCAGCCGUGCUCUAGAAUCUUGAAAAACAGUCACCAAAGUCUCCUUAAAGUACUUGUCUUUGUAACAGUGUUUGCAAAAAAAAAAAAAAAAAGGGGGGGGGGAAUCCUCCACACGAAGUGAAAUCUGGAUAGUAUUUUUUAAUGUAGAAAGACUGAAGACGAAACACUGCAGAUGGGAGAAGGAGGCAUUCCUUUUCAUUCCAUAGUUCAGAGAGGAAGGGCUGAAGAAAGAGUAAUGGUCUACGGACCUUCGGAUCUCAGCACACGCCAAGACUUCACAUUUUAAAAACACUGGGAGUCAGGGAAGGGGCUGGAAGGCUGCUUUGAACAAUACUGUGCUGUUGGCCUCAAAUAGGGUUUCGGAGAUUCUAGGCCGCCUUUUCAUCCCGCUUAAUUUUCCUGUUAGCACUGGUUGCUGUCGAAGAGGGAAGAGCUCCCUUUGCGCUCCCAGGAAGGGUGCCCUUAUCUCCGAGAAAAUCUGUUCUUGAAGGCUUUAAUAGUCUUCGCCAUCAUUGGUGCGAUUUCUGAAAGAGGAAACAGAAACAUUGAACCAUUUGCAGAGAAACAGGCUUGAUAAUGUGUUAUCGAAGGCUUUCAUGGCCAGAAUCACUGGGUUGCUGUGAGUUUUCUGGGCUGUAUGGCCAUGUUUCGGAAGCAUUCUCGCCUGACGUUUCGCCCACUUUGAAGCUGCAAGGCUAUUCAAUGCUAAUCAAGCUGGCCAGCUGAAAUAUUCACUUGUCUCAGGCAGACAAGAGUUAUUUCUCCCACCCUGAACAUUCCACAAAUAUAUAAACCCCAAUUGCCUAGUUUCCAACAGACCUCACAACUUCUGAGGACGCCUGCCACAGAUGUGGGUGAAACGUCAGGAGAGAAUGCUUCUGGAACAUGGCCAUACAGCCAAGAAAACUCACAGCAACCCAUUCUUGAUAAUAAUCAGACACUUUGAUUUGCACCAUUAUUCAGAUUCAGGACUCUGCAUAACCAGGGUGUAUUGAGCCUUAACAACCUAUGCAAGGAAAAAUCAGUGCCACCUUUCAGGGAUCCCUGCUAUUGCUCUUCCUUUCUUCACUGCAGAAUCACUCAGCUUCUGAAGUUCCAGUUUGGAAAAAUUUAUUUUUUGGACUAACACCCACAGUCAGUCGUAAUGGUCUCAGAAAUUAUGGGAACCCUAAGAUUUCCAAGUUUUGUACCAAAAAAACAUUUUUUUCUCUCUUGUUGAUUUUAUUUUUAAAUGAAAUUACUCUUCCUGAUCACCCUAUAUUUUAUCCUGAGCCUUACAUUGAGCCUGUAUAAUUUUGCCUCUCUCUAUAUAUUGUUCUAUGCUCAAACUCAUUGUUCCGAUAUGCUGUUUUAUCCUGUUUUAUGCUGUUAUUUGGUUUUAUUGUUUAUAUUGGUUUUAUUGUAUGACUGUUUAUUAUAUGUGACAUUGGGCUUGUUCCCCAUGUGAGCUGCUCCGAGUCGCCCUGGGGGAGAUGGGAGCAGGAUAUAAAAAUAAAAAAUUAUUAUUAUUAUUAU
This is a long non-coding RNA of Anolis carolinensis (green anole), 1773 nucleotides long. RefSeq lists it as uncharacterized. The transcript has 2 exons. The record is from RefSeq and is a predicted model, not a curated record. Lineage: Eukaryota; Metazoa; Chordata; Lepidosauria; Squamata; Anolidae.